RNAcentral lists this non-coding RNA (28 nucleotides) under Mus musculus (house mouse). Lineage: Eukaryota; Metazoa; Chordata; Mammalia; Rodentia; Muridae. The record is from RNAcentral.
UGGCCUGAUAGUGUGACACACAGCCCGU